Non-coding RNA from Syngnathoides biaculeatus (alligator pipefish), 408 nucleotides. The record is from the annotation of a RefSeq genome assembly. Lineage: Eukaryota; Metazoa; Chordata; Actinopteri; Syngnathiformes; Syngnathidae.
AUGUUGUGUGUCGUUCUGCUAGUGCUGCUGGCCGCCGGGUCCAGUGUCAAGGGUCAUCAGUUGACCCAGCUGACUCAGUCUUUGACCCUACGGUCUGGUGAGGAGUUGAACAUCAAUUGUCAGGUGUCUUAUUCGUUGAGUGAUCAGCACACUGCGUGGGUCAGGAAACCGGCCGGGAAAGGACUGGAAUGGAUUGGGAGCAGACGACACACUGGGGAUUAUUACCGCAAGGACUCACUGAGUAACAAGUUCAGUAUCAAUUUGAACCCCUCCAGCAAAAUCGUCACCCUAAAUGACCAGAAUAUGCAGCCUGAAGACACUGCAGUGUACUACUGUGCCAGAGCUGGUGUAGUGGUCUACUCACCUGACUUUGGUGGGCGCAGCGUGGUUUCAGUUCCCUCUCAGUGA